This is a long non-coding RNA of Homo sapiens (human), 3903 nucleotides long. RefSeq lists it as uncharacterized. NCBI's taxonomy places the organism in Eukaryota, Metazoa, Chordata, Mammalia, Primates, Hominidae. The record is from RefSeq and is a predicted model, not a curated record. The transcript has 2 exons.
ACAGAUUUGUUUUGUUCUGGAUUUUUUUUCCCCCAGAACUGGGAAGCUCUAAACCUGAUUUAAAGAGACAGGCUCCUGAGAAGGGAGGAUUCCUGGCCUUAGCAUGAAUUAUUCAGGCUGGAGAGGCUGACACUUGAUCCGCAGGCCAUUCGGGUAUCAGCAGAGCUGGUUGGAAUAGAGGCUCCCCACCUCCUCCCAAGAAUCAGUCUCUUUCUCCUGAAUUGGGUGCUUCCCGUCUAAAUUCUCCUGGAACCAAUUUCUCUCUGUCCAAGUUCCCCAAGGAAUCAAGUCUGCGAGCCAUUGGGGCUGAGGGAUCUCUGUUCUUUGGAGGAACAGCGCUCUCCAUCUUAGAUUUGCCAGUGUUCAGUAUGCAUUAAGUGUUCAAUAAAUGUGUGUCCACUUGAGUCUGAGGCUGUGUGUUUAUUCUCUGAUGCAUCUGGUGGAAGUCUCUUUUCUUGGACUGUUUGCCCCAGCUGGGGUGCUCUCCUCUUGAUUCUGUUUCUCCAGUCCAGUCAGCUGUCCCUCAGGACUUGUGAGUUUUGCCCCCUUCAGGGAGCCCUCAUGGCUUCCCUCUCCAUCCUUUGAACUUCACUGAUCAAUUAGAGGGCUAAGACUCCCCUGAUCUUCUUGACUGUCAGCAGCUAGGGCUCAGGUCUGGUCUAAUUUCUUAGGGAUCAGUACAGAGAAGGCACCAGGGAAUAUUUGCUGACUGAAAUAAUGAUUUAAAAAUCUGUGACUCGAGCCUCUCAUCCCUAUGAGGCAAGCUCGGUGAGGACCCCUCAUCUACACUUCAUACCAGGAGAUAGCUGCUCAGAAAUGUUAAGUGCUUUCCCCAAGGUUGCACACCUGACUGGGACCUGAGCCAGAUAGAAGCUCGGGUUUCUUGCCCAUCUCCUUUGCCGCAGCCCCCCCUCAUCCUAGGAUCCCUCUCUCCUGGGAGUGUGGCUGGGUCAGAUCCCAGGGGAGCCUGUGGGCAAAGAGCUCACGCCCUCAGGGUUUCCUUAGGACUCGGAAGAAGCGAGGCACCCCUCGCCACCCAAGCAGAGUGAUCAUCUGCCCUUUGCCCAGAUGAGUACCCCUCAUGUCAGCCACACUGGAUCUUCACGCUUGCUUGAAUUUAUUACUCCACUAGGUCCCAGAGCCCUUCUCUUAGUAUUCCAAGGUGUUGUCUCUACCUGAGCCUCUAGUGCCUUCGCUGGGCCUUUUCUGCUGGCACAGACCCUGCUGUUGAUCAGCUCCACUAAGCCUUGGUAGGGAGCACAGAGUGUGAUGACGUCCCUGAGAUCACCCAGCAGGUAGCCCCUUCUCCAGCUCUGUUUUGUCAUCAGAGGUGUGUCAAUAUUAUUAAAGUCCUUGGACACACCUCAGUUUCCCUGUCUGCAAAAAAGUGUGUGUGGAUGGGAUGGUCCUGGGGGGCCUAGUAGUCUUGUGCCCCUUGGCAUUUUAGGGAUGGGGGUCAGGGAGGGGAAGGUCAUACUGGGAUUUGCCCAAGUUGGUGCCCCCACCUUCUCAAUAUAUGACCUUGAACUUGGUACCACCCCAAUUAAGGCCUUGGUUGCCCGACUAGAAAGUGGUAGGGGUGGCUGGGUGUGGUGCCUCAUGCCUGUAAUCCCAGAACUUUGGGAGGCCGAGGUGGGCAGAUCACAAGGUCAGGAGAUUGAGGCCAUCCUGGCGAACAUGGUGAAACCCCGUCUCUACUAAAAAUACAAAAAAGAAUUAGCCGGGCGUGGUGGUGGGCACCUGUAGUCCCAGCUACUCAGGGGGGCUGAGGAAGAAAGUGGUAGGGGUGGUCUGGGGUCCUUCUGGAGCGGAUGCUGUAGCAUCCUGAGAUCCAGGCUCCCUUUGUCCUCUGUCCCAGCAGCCCUCCUGCUGCCUUCCCAUCCCUCUGUUCCCCCCUCCUCCAAGGCAAAUGGAGGAGCAGCAGGCGGCCUGACGUGAUGAACUCAGCCACGAGGUAGUGGGGGAGGCCCCAGCUUCUCUCCUCUUGCUUGGCUUCCUUGCCAGCAGGGACGGGAGACUUCACUGUGGGCCUUGCCAUUCCCAUUUCUCACUCCCCCUCCCCUCCCCCACUGCUGUGAGACACAGGAAAAUCCAUAGGCCCAAGAUUCAUUUUCUCCGUUGAGUCAGCAGAGGCCAGCGCUGCUUCUGAGGGGCAGGCAACUGGCUUUUAAAUAACUCUCUGAUAUUUAAUACCCUCCUCCUCCGCUCUGUGGCCUGGGCCUCUGGGGAAAGGCUAGAAUAAAUGAGCUGGAUGCGUCCUCCGAAAGUCCUAAAUGUUCUUACCCCCACCUCAGUCUUCCCCCCAACCCCCAACUCUCAGACCAUUGGAAAAGAUGACUCCUUACUACAUCUGUACCUUGCUUUACAGUUUCUAAGUGGUGGCAGGCUGGGUUUGUUGUCCCAGUUUAGAAUGGGAAAUGGACAUUUAGAAAAGGAGAGAGAUCCCACUUGACUUUUGGUCUUUGUCUGCUGUUGGCUGGCUGUGUGGCUGUGGGCAGGUGGGUCCCUGUCCCUCCCUGGGCUUCUGUUUCCUCAUCUGUGCUGCAAGGUGGUUCGGCCAGUGGGUUGUUGUUGGUCCCCCUUGGCUGUGUAAUGUUAUGAUUUGCUGUGCUGGCCUAGGUCUCCUUCCCUAAUGAAGCCUCUGUUUCUCCACUCCUCUUCAAGGAAAGGCUAAAGGGCAGAGCCGACUGAGGCUAAAGGCCAGCUAAGGUCUGACCCCUAGGAUUCCACUCUGUUGAGUCAGGGACAGGAGUGGGUAGGGGAGAGGGGAAAGGGAAAGGAGCAGAGUUGGGUGCCUUCCCUUCCCUUCCCUUGUCUUCCCUUCCCUCCCCUCCACUCCCCUCCCCUUUCAUUAUUUCUUGCUUUUGCCAGUAGAGGUUGGGACAGACCAAGGGCAAUAACCUGUCUUGGUUCUCUUAAAACCCAAGGUCUCUACCACUGUGGAUGCAGUUUAAUGAGGUGGGAGCAAAACCCUCUUCCUCAGCUGUGCCCAGGCCCAGGAUCCUGAUCAUGGAAGUUAGUGGGCCCAGUUCUCCUGGUUUUGCCACUGUUCUGCAUUAUUCAGAAGACAGGGAUUGAUAUCUCUGUUGGCUAUAUGAGAACACUGGGAGGUUAAGAGCUGUGCUUGGGGUCAUCCCAGAUUAAUGAUGGAACAGGGCCUAUAAUCUAGGUUUUCUGAUUCCCAACUCCGUGUUCAUGCCACUUCCCUGAUUCAGGCAGGAAGUUGGGGCCUGAGGGGUGAGCAUGGGAGAGGCAGCUGGUUCUGUAGGGGUGACCUUUGUUUGCCCAACUUCUUUAGCCUCCUCUUGGGUCCUCAUGCUCUUCUUCAAUGUACUGAGCCUUCUGCUUCUAGAAUCACAGAAUCUUGGAAUCAAAACAUUGACUGCUAAGAACCACAGACUCAGAGAGCCAUAGAACUGUGGUCUCUGAAUUAGAACAAAGACUUAUGGUAUUGGUAGUAUGGUGGUGGUGAAUGAGACACUUAGAGCUUGUGGUAGGUUGUUAAUAUUGAUGGUCCCAAAUGAAUUCUGCGUAUCUGAGUCCAUACUUUUAUGUUGUCCCACCCCAUACUGACUUUGGGUUGGCCGUGUGACUUCCUCUGGUUAAUGAGACGUCAGCAAAUGUGAUGCAAGGAGAGUCUUAAAAAGUGCUUGUGCAUUGGGAUUCACCUCUUCUUGCUCCCCUGAAACUGCCAUGUGUAGGAACACAAGCAUGCCUUUUAGAGGAAGAGACCAGAAGUAAACCAUCCCAGCUGGAGAUGAACCAGCUCCCUGAUGGUCUUCCGCCUGCCUCCAGCCACCUGAGUGACCCCAGAUAAGACCAACAGAACUACUCAGCUGACCCGAGCCCAAAUUUCUGACUCACAGAAUUGUGAACAAAUAAAAUGGUGGUUGUUUUAAGUCA